UCGGGUCGCAGCCUGUGUAGUUGUAGGAAGUGUGUGUUCAGUAUAACCUUUACCAGAGAUGGGGGAGAGGCGGGAGCGGAAUGGAGGUCGGUUAUACCCAAGCUUUCCAAAGUGGUGGGCUGAGAAUGGGUUACAGAUUUGAUGGCUCCCGGGGACAGAAGAGUCCCUUGGCUGGUCACCUCUAGAUGCACCUUGUCUAUGCCAGAGGUGGGUUGAAUUGCAUCCCCUUAAAAGACAAGUUUAAGUCCUAACAUCCAUACCUGUGGCUGUGACUUUAUUUGGAAAUAAUGAUCUUUGUGGAGGAGGAUGGGCUGAUGUCCUUAUAAAAGGGAAAUCUGGGCACAGAGAGAGGAGUAUGCUGUGUGAAGAUAGACACACAGAAAAACACGCACACACGGGAAGAAGGCCAGAAGGCUGCGCUGAGAAGGAAAGCUGACAAAAGCAGAUAAAAAACAUAAAAGCCAGGCAGAUGUCCGAGGCUGGAUACACCCCUGGCACGCUUUUGGCUUCCGUAAUCUUGCUUGCUUGCCUCUUGAUCAGCCGACUGCCCAUGUAGCACAACCGGUAAGUGCCCCCUGCCCCCGAUUUUUCUCUUCAGUCCCUGCAAUCCCACCCACCUGUGCAGCUGAUAGAAGUUUCCAAGUACCCGGAAGCUGACCAGGCGUACAAGUAGGCCAGCGCCAGGGCUCGGGGCUCAGCCUCUGGAGGGGACUCCGCUGGGCCGGCACCGGUUCAGGAUAGAGUCUUUUCUGGUUCUCUAAGUGCCUGUCACUUGUCUCUUGCUGUGUGCAAGAGACAAGGGGAGUGGCUGUAGCAGCCUAUGGAGGGAGGCAGAGACUGGAAUGAUGCAGCCACAAGUUGGGGAGCGCUAAGGACUGCCAGAAACACCAGAAACGAGGGGCUGGGCUUGGAACCCAUUCCCUCUCGAAGCCUGUGGAAGAAACUAGUCCUGGGGCAGGCUGACGGCAGACUUUGGGCCCCCAGGCCUGUGAGAGAAUGCACUCCUGUGGCCUGUGGGGCUGGGUCACAGCAGCUCCGGGACGCUGGUACAGACGCCCUAGAGGUCCUUCACCUGAUGGACUGGGAGACUCCUUCCUUUACUGCCCCGGGGACAUUCUCCUCCUUUGCUCAUACCCCAUCUGCGCACCGGCUCAUGCCCCUCUCCCUCAUCCUCCUCACCUCCGUCCCUUUCCUUCCUUCUUUUCCCAAUCCCUUGGCCUCUCAGUCAUCUGCAGGGUAGUGUAGUCCAGUAACGCUGCCCCCGCCCUCGGAGUCACUCAAGUGAUUUAUCAAGGAGACUGAUGAAGAUUCACGCAGGUAACUGUGCAUUUAGCUGUUCUUUAGCAGUUAUUAAAAAAAAGGCUUUAAAAAAUACCGAUUAUUGACUAAUUACAACAUGCAAAUUACAGACAGGAAGUAGGGAUUACCUCCAUUUGCAGGUGGGGACACUGAGUAGUUUAAGCAACUUGUCCAAGAAGGAUCCAGGCUUUAAACCUGAAACUUCCUGACUUCAAAGCUCUUCCUUUAGAUUACCUUACUAACAAACUUCAAAAGACGUAGCCUUGUAAAUAUCUGGAGGGGCUUGCCACAUUUUCCCUAUUCUUCCUAUAAUUUCACCAUUUCAUAAAGAUUUGCUGUUGUAAGUUGGAUAUAUGAUACCUAAAGAAAUUCAGGAUGGUGAUCUAUAUCUUAGUUAUUCUUAAUAGUUUAUUUUUUCACUUAGUAGUAAAAUAAUAAUUAUCAUUUGGUCUGGAGCCUACAAGCCUAUAAAGCAAUUCUGGUAAAUUCAUGGAGUUCCUUGAAUAAUCAGUUUAUUGUGUUAUACCCCGAGCUUUGGUAAAGGACUAUCUCCUUUUUCUUCCCUGGAGUUUGAGCAUAGAAAUAUCCAUAUAUUUUCUUUUAAAUGCUUACAAUAAUAAUUUUCUUUCAAAUGCAGAUCUUGUAUCGCAUGAGAUUCGAGUGUCUUAUAAAAUUCUUAGCCAAAUAAAAUAAUAAAUUACUCAUUUUCUCAAAGUCUUUUCUGCCAGACGGAAUAUCCACUUAGCUUAGGCUUGAACAAAUAAAGUUUUUUAGCUUAAUUACUAAACUGAAUGAAUCUGGGGUGAGGAAAAACCCAUCUUUCACUCAAGCAAACUCGAGGCUGAUGUUAUGAAAAUGCCCUCGGUCUCCCGUCUCCAAAGCCAGUAAAAACAGUCUUCUGCCUUCCUGCUCCCGGGCACUUGAAUCACUGACCGUCACUGAUGUGCGCACAGACACAAACAGCACUGAACUGGGUCCAGUGAGCCUUCCUUACACACAUGUCCCGCCUGACGGGAUAGAUCAGCAACCUCAAGGGCUUGGAUGGAGUCCAAGUGCCCUUACCCAAGCGAAACAUGUAGAAGACAGUUAGCCCUGGGCAAGACCAGCUACGUCAUUUGCAGGCCUGGUGCGACAUGAAACUGCAGGGCUCCUUGUUGGAAAAUGGUGAAGCAUUUUGAGACAGUGACAGCAAGUCAGUAAACUGAGUGCUUGGCCCUUCGGAGGCCGGGCUUGGGGGAUUGUACUGGCCACACACCCAGGGAGCCGGCCCUGACAGGCUGUCCUUGAAGUUUUCAGACCUCUCCUUGUGCAACCUGCCAUCUGGGCCUCCUCUCUCUCUCUCUCUCUCUCUCUCUCUCUCUCUCUCUCUCUCUCUCUGUCUCUCUCUCACUGCACUAUUAAAUCGGUCCCCAAGGCUGACUCUGACCCCUGGAGACCUUGCAAACACACUCAUUCUCCCCUCUCCUUCUGCAGAUGCUUCUUACCUCCACUUACUCUCUGCCACACCCACGCUGCUCUCGGCAGCCACGCUUGCUCCCUGGAGAGGUCCUGCCCUGCCACCAUGGAUGAGCCUUGGGAGGCUUCCCGUUGUUCUCGGUGGAAGGCCAAAGUCAAGAACACAGACCUCCACACCUGAUCCUUUCUGUCCUAUUUCCUCUGGUAUCUUCAGCUCAUGCCUCACUCUCAGCGGCCCUGGGCAUUUCAGUCAUCCUGGCCUUCACCGGGACCUUCUCCUGCGUAGUUCCUCCAUCAGGACGCUCCGAGCCUUCUCACGGGCUGCCCCGCUGGCCUUUCUGUCUUCACCCCGCUCCUCCUAGUACACUGCCUAGUCUCGGCGUGAGUAUGAUGUUCUCGGGAAUCUCCCUGCCUCCCUGUCCAGAACAGGUCCCCUGGCUACCCACUCCCCGGCAUUCUCUUUGCUCAUCCAUACAACUCCUUACACUUGCCCAGUACAUUUCCUGUCCAUGAAGUUGGGGUCCCAGGGUGCCUGUUGCACCACACGGCAGGGAUUUAUUGAGGGAUGUGUUGUUUGGUUCAAGGCUCUGGCAAAUUCAGCAUCCCAGAGAGAAAGAACUAUUGUCACUUAGUAACAACGGAGCUGUUUUUGCUGCUGCUGCGUAAAAGGCUACAGAACACAGAAUGUUCCGGCAGCUAGCAGCUCUGGUGGAUGACGAUGUAGCCCAUCUGAACGGGUACCACUCCCUGAAGGUGUCCAUUGGGGGCGUCGCCAUCCAGCUUGCUUUAAAAGAUACCAUUCUGGGAUUAUGUGUGGUUUUUAAAAUUCCGUCUCUAUUUUUCUAGGUUGUGGCAAUAUGCACAUAUUGCUUUGAUAACCGCGAUGAACCACCCCCUCCCCAGCAAAUUUGCUUAAAAAAAGAAAAAAAAAAAAAAGGACCAGGCCAGAGGACUCUUCUAUAGGGGUUCAUUUUCUUUGCAAAUGCGUUUCCUCUGUCUGGAAAGGGGAAGCGUGUCCCCUCCUCCGCUCUACGCCGCAGAAGUACCGUGUCAACGGUGACAAUUAAUAUUCUUAUAAACAUUUAUGUAAAAGUAAGGGUACAAAUGUAACUCAAUGCCAAGCCAUGAGUGCUGCUGGCCGCCAGGGACGGUGCUUGCUGCUCCUGAGGCCCUGGGCCAUGGCAAAGGUGAGGGCACUGCCUUCCCUCCAAGAGCAGUGGUUUCUAGCCUCCCUGGAUUAUCUGUCCUCAAACACUGUCUUCCUUCUGUUACAUUUGUCUUCUGCUACUUAGGCAAGAAAGGAAAAGAAAUAAAAUCUAAGAAAAGUCUGCGGGAUAGACUAGGUGGGGAUCAGAAUGUGUAGUAAGGCUGAAAGGUUAGAUGAACAGGACGUGGUUCCUACCAGUGCGGGAUGGGAUGACCCACCGUCCCUGCUGGCCUGGCACUGAUGACUUAACACUGAGAUGGUUCCGGACAAACCAGGUAGACAGAUGCCUUGGGGACAGCAGACAUAGCUCCAAGCAGUGCCUGUCCUGGGCCUGGUCCCUGUGGGCCCCUGCGUGAGGCCACACCGUGCAGCCGCUCCUGUCUCUCCCCUCCCCGUGAGGAGUUCACAGUAUCGCCAUUUUCCAGGGUAGUUUUGAGAAUCGACUCUGGCCUGAAACUGGGAACCCAGACCAUAAUUUUAUCUUUAGCAUGUCACUCAGUUUCUCAUUUUCUAGAAUGAAACCUCCUUGACUUUGGUUUUAAAAAGAUUUGUGAUUAAAGAGAAAACAGGAUCCUGGAAUGAACUUUGAUUUUGAUACAUUUGAGCUGUCAAAAUUGUUCCCUAUAAGUUGCACCCAAUGCAAAUUUCAGUUCCUAAAAAACCCAAAUAAGGGAAUAAAUGUUAAGGACAGGAGGUUUGAUUUGUCUCUUCCUAAACUGAUGACCUGGUAGGAACAUUGCUGAUUGAGGAAAAACGUGUCAGCUUCCUGCUAACACAGGCACACUCAGAGCUGGCGGAUGAUUGUUCUAUUUCUGCCGCAGAGGCGGGGAGACAGGUGAGUUAGGACAGGUUGUAAGUGAGGGUUCUAAUAAAGACGUUGAGUGUGGACUGCCUCUUCAUGCACGCUGCCUCCAGUGUGGCCAGUAUCCCCGGGAGAGAUGACGUCAGCGUCCCUGCUUACAGACAGAAGCUCAGAGUGGCUGAGGAAGCUGAGAUGCUUGGAGGCUAAGACUUGCUCAGCGUUCGUGCUUCGAACACACAGAGCAGAGCUCACACCGCACCGCGGGGGCUUCUGCCCUCAGGACACAGAGCCAGCACCUGCCAGCCGCGGCGAGGCGUUCUGGGUUCCCUCAGCCUGCAGCCCAAAGCACCAUGGAAUGAUGGGACUCAAGACGUAAGGAUCUGUACCAGUCAGAGAUCUCUAGGGUUCAUGGGGCAGAAAUUGCCAGACUGAAACAAACAAAGAAAAUGUAAGUUUUCCCAAAAAAUAGGAAUUUGAAUAGAAACCUAGACAAAAGCCAAGGUUCAGUUAAACUGUGUUUGAAUUAGUGAAUGUAUCUGUAACCAGCUAUUUAUUUCAUUAAAAUCUUCCAGAAAACA
Long non-coding RNA from Suricata suricatta (meerkat), 5341 nucleotides. RefSeq lists it as uncharacterized. NCBI's taxonomy places the organism in Eukaryota, Metazoa, Chordata, Mammalia, Carnivora, Herpestidae. The record is from RefSeq and is a predicted model, not a curated record. The transcript has 2 exons.